RNAcentral lists this ribosomal RNA (460 nucleotides) under uncultured bacterium. Its description in RNAcentral is "partial 16S ribosomal RNA". It matches the Rfam family "Bacterial small subunit ribosomal RNA", at positions 338 to 795 of the family's 1533-position model. The record is from RNAcentral.
CCUACGGGAGGCAGCAGUGAGGAAUAUUGGUCAAUGGACGAGAGUCUGAACCAGCCAAGUAGCGUGAAGGAUGACUGCCCUAUGGGUUGUAAACUUCUUUUAUAUGGGAAUAAAACGUUCCACGUGUGGGAUUUUGUAUGUACCCUAUGAAUAAGGAUCGGCUAACUCCGUGCCAGCAGCCGCGGUAAUACGGAGGAUCCGAGCGUUAUCCGGAUUUAUUGGGUUUAAAGGGAGCGUAGGUGGAUUGUUAAGUCAGUUGUGAAAGUUUGCGGCUCAACCGUAAAAUUGCAGUUGAAACUGGCAGUCUUGAGUACAGUAGAGGUGGGCGGAAUUCGGGGUGUAGCGGUGAAAUGCUUAGAUAUCACGAAGAACUCCGAUUGCGAAGGCAGUUCACUGGACUGCAACUGACACUGAGGCUCGAAAGUGUGGGUAUCAAACAGGAUUAGAUACCCUUGUAGUC